Molecule: ribosomal RNA, 509 nt
Filed under: uncultured Pacispora
Lineage: Eukaryota; Fungi; Glomeromycota; Glomeromycetes; Diversisporales; Pacisporaceae
Description: SSU rRNA
Rfam family: Eukaryotic small subunit ribosomal RNA
Source: RNAcentral
CUGGUGCCAGCAGCCGCGGUAAUUCCAGCUCCAAUAGCGUAUAUUAAAGUUGUUGCAGUUAAAAAGCUCGUAGUUGAAUUUCGAAAUUUUUUUAUCGGUUAAAUCAACAGAUUUAUACUGAUUUUAAGAAUUUCUACCUUCUGGAGAACCAUAAUGUCAUUAAUUUGGUGUUUUGGGGGAACCAGAACUGUUACCUUGAAAAAAUUAGAGUGUUUAAAGCAGGCUUAUGUCUGAAUAUAUUAGCAUGGAAUAAUGAAAUAGGACGGCAUGGUUCUAUUUUGUUGGUUUCUAGGAUCACCGUAAUGAUUAAUAGGGAUAGUUGGGGGCAUUAGUAUUCAAUUGUCAGAGGUGAAAUUCUUGGAUUUAUUGAAGACUAACUUCUGCGAAAGCAUUUGCCAAGGAUGUUUUCAUUAAUCAAGAACGAAAGUUAGGGGAUCGAAGACGAUCAGAUACCGUCGUAGUCUUAACCAUAAACUAUGCCGACUAGGAAUCGGACGAAGUAAUUUAAA